UGUUUGUGGAACAGGACUGGAGA
This 23-nucleotide non-coding RNA is filed under the name Cricetulus griseus (Chinese hamster). The record is from RNAcentral. Lineage: Eukaryota; Metazoa; Chordata; Mammalia; Rodentia; Cricetidae.